This 74-nucleotide transfer RNA is filed under the name Calumma brevicorne. Its description in RNAcentral is "tRNA-His". Lineage: Eukaryota; Metazoa; Chordata; Lepidosauria; Squamata; Chamaeleonidae. The record is from RNAcentral.
GCUACGAUAGUUUAUAACAAAACAUUAGCCUGUGAAGCUAAAAAUGGAACUACACAACCCACAUCCCCGCAGCU